Molecule: non-coding RNA, 3629 nt
Organism: Xyrichtys novacula (pearly razorfish)
Lineage: Eukaryota; Metazoa; Chordata; Actinopteri; Labriformes; Labridae
Source: the annotation of a GenBank genome assembly
GAGCUGCGGAACCCCGCUGUAGUCCACAAUGGACUGGCCUGAGGUCUCACUACAAACAAGCGGCUGCUGGAAGAGAGUAGGUGAGUUGUGUUUAGUCUCUUUGCUGAAGAAAUUAAGCAAAGUUAAAAAGAUGUUUGAUGGCUAGUACUAUGGCUGGGACCCUACAGUAUAUGUCCUGUUGAUGAAGUUAGGUGCUGUUCUGAGCAUUAUUUGUGGCUAUAGAGUGGCGUUUUGGUUGAGGUCCAUAGACAGCUGUGUAUUGCUAUCGUGCGGUUGUUAAUAAAGUUGGUAAAACUAGAGAAGCAAGCGGUCUGCAACAUUCAUUUCUCAAGGGGGUGUGUAACUCGGUGUUGCGGUGUGUUUGACCCUAAAUUAAUUUUACGCCGGAAUAUCCCUUUAAGGUAGUACAAUUGCUUAAUGUGAAGGUGGUGCCCAUUUUCCAGCAGCCAUCAUCUUCGGUACACAAUCAAUUUUCUAUUUCCUUUAAAGCCCCUAUAAGGAAUUUUCUGUCUGUGUUGAUUUGGCCGCCCCCUAGUGGAUGAAACGGUUAGCUUUAUUAUGUCUUUAUCAUUUCAUUUCGUCCUUAUUAGUGAGGUGUUAAUUGACAAAACAACCACCUCUUGUUGCAGAAUUUGUCUCUUACUAUAAAUAUGUAAGUAACAAAGGCUGUUCCUUCAGCUAGCCUUGCCCCCCUCCUCCCUCACAGCAGGUACAGGUGUUAAAAAACGAUCAUACAGAUAUCGUAAUCUUGCCGUUGUACAUUAUAGAGAUGUUCUACUUUUCGUUUCAGUCUGUUUCAUAACCGUCCAAAAACUCCCUACAGGAGCUUUAAAAGACGAUUAGCAUCAGUUUAUGUAAUUAAAGCUACAGUGGGGAGUUUUUAGCAAACUAAACACUCUUGGAAACGUUCCUAAUGGAUCUGCGUCAGGAAGUAGCUGUCCUAACAACAAUGUGCUGCAUUUUAUCCCGAGAUAGGAAACCCACUGUAACACACUCUUGGACUGAUAAUGCUCCCUAACAGUCCGUUAAUGCACUUUUUAUACUUUAUCAGCAGAGAAGCACUCGAGAUUUCUUCCCCACAAGUCUCACCAGUUGUCCUUUUUUCUGUUGCUCCCUGUACAGAAUUAACACAGCCGUGGCGGGGAAAGCCCGGCGUGCCAUUGUCUGAUAGGGGGGCACCGUUAGCCGCGCACAACAGCCGCCCAAUGAGAGGACCCCCCCUGCUGCGACAGCUGUCGUGCUGUUUCACUGAUCUGUAAGCAUUUCUGCUCAUUAGCAGGCUUUGUUGUUUGGUUUGUGUGCGUGUGUGUGUGUGUGCAGUCAUAGCUGGGUGAUGAAUCGACGGUGGCAGGUAAAGUAAGAGGGAGGAAAUGAAUAUGUAUGAGACCUCCCGGACAGUGAGCGCCGAGGAUAAGCUGUCUGUUUUCAACGCCACAUGACGGAGUGUCACUUCUUUCAGACUCCACCUGGGGUCAGAGGUCUGGACUCUUCUUUUUCAGAGUGCUGGUUCCAAAAAAUUUCGCCUUUUUCCUCCAUUUAAGCUCAAAUCUGUCGCUCUUACCUCUUUUUUUUAAAACUUCGUGCCAAAUGCCAGCAGGCUGCCUUAUUUGGACACAAAUGUUCCAGUUUUCUGUGCAGGAAUUUCCCAACGUACGCCCUUAUCUCUGGUAAUCGCAGAAGUGAUAACAGUGACUCUUUUCCAGGACAGGGAAGUAACAUUAAAUGUUGACGAACUAACAGGAAAAUUAGCGGGAAGGAGGAAACUUAAUGAGAUUUCUUUUGCAUUCUUUCGUUUAAUCUUUCGCACUUCCUAGGUGUGAAAUUUCAGACCGUCCCUGAACAUAAAACUUAAGAAAAUAUGUGUCAAAGCCCUACAUGUGUGUCCAGCUCUGCUCGUUUUUGUUUCUGCAGCAGGUAAAAUGGUCUAACAACAUGAGGUCAGUUCAGAGGAAUGUGGGCCGUCCCUUCCUCUGUUCCACUGAAACCAGUCAGAUAACCUUGCAAAUACGAGGACAAUAUGUAACCACAUCAAGAGGGUUUUUUUUUCCUCCUCCAUCACACGUCCCUGAACUGAAGAACGGCUGUUUUUGGUGCAGAGAGCAGUCAUUGUUGCAGGAAUGUGGGAGGAACGGUGUGGUUAUUAAGGCGAGGACAGCCUGAAAACUCACCCGGCAGCGUCUGAAUGUGCGUUUUUCUGCCCAAAAACAGGCAUUCGUGAAAAGCACAAGCAUAUAAAAGCUCCUCGUCUAUAAAUGCACCUUUUUGAGAAAACAAAUCAUGUCCUUUUCACUCGUUUACCUGCAUGUAUCUCUAAAGGAAAAGGAGAAUCUCCUCCUACAAAGGAGUGCAGUUUUCACAGUUAUGUGUCACCUUGUUUGCUGUCGUUGUGUAGGCGCAGCAACAAUCCAGACAGAGACAUGCUGCUGUGUUUUGCAGAGUAGCUGAAGGGACAAACACCAACUCCAAACACAGUGCUGCUACUGUAUAACUGAGGCGAGUGUAAUAUUAAACUGCGUGUAGCUCAAAGGGCAGAAAGAGACCGUUUUGACCUCGGAUGCAUUUUUCUUCACCACUUUGAUAGAUGGUGUAAAGUCAGAUAAGGUUACCUUUAAAAGUCAGGUUACGCUCGAGUGUUUAAGAGGCUAAAGACCUGCUUUUUGUCUGACAUGGACUGUGGUUUCGUCUAAAAAAAAGUGGCGAAUGCAGUUGAUCCACAUCCGAGUGAAGGUGAGAGGGUUGAGCCCUUAUCUGACCUUGAAUUUCCGUUGAAGCAUGUUGACACCAUCUGCUUCUUUUUCAUGUCCAGAUUAAGACGGGGAUGUUACCCAUGUGUUCAGUCUUAGCGUCAGCGUAAGCCGUACAAACACGGUUAUUCCACCACUUUGCUGGAACAGCAUGUCAAAUAAACGGUUUAUUAGAAUUUGAAUCUAUGUAAACAGCAAAACAAUUCCUCACAAAUUUACAGUGAAAACCCAACAGGUCGUCAUGGUUAGAGGGAUAUUCCGGCGUAAAAUUAAUAUAGGGUCAAACACACUGUAACCCUGAGUUAGACACCCCGUCAAGAGAUGAAUGUUGCCGACCGCUUGCUCCUCUAGUUAUAUCAACUUUAGUAACCACCGUACGAUAGCAAUACAGAGAGCCAUGUGCUCAACCAAAACGCCACUCUAUACCCACAAAUAAUGCUCAGAACAGCACUGACCUUGGUCCAGUCCAUUACGGACUACAGCGGGGUGACGCAGCUCAAGGAAGAACAUUUAUGAUCAUUUCUUUGUCAUUUCCUUGAAGUAAUAAUCAUCAUAUUAAUCAUUUUUACUGCAGACGCGGUAGUUCUUCUGCCUUAGCAUCUCGGUCUGAUUGUAUUUCCAUGAAGAAAUGAUCAUAAAUGUUCUUCCUUGAGCUGCGUCCCCCCACUGUAGUCGGUAAUGGACUGGCCCGAGGUCUCGCUACAAACAAGGGGCUGCUGGAAGAGAGUAGGUGAGUUGUGUUUAGUCUCUUUGCUAAAGAAAUGAGUCAAAGUUAAAAAGAUGUUUGGUGUCUAGUACUAUGGCUGUGACCCUAUAUGUCCUGUUGAUGAAGUUAGGUGCUGUUCUGAGCAUUAUUUGUGGCUAUAGAGUGGCGUUUUGGUUGAG